CCUGCUUUGGCAGGGGGGUUGGACUCAAUGAUCUCUAGAGGUCCCUUCCAACCCCUACAGUUCUGUGAUUCUGUGCCUGAUCAGACGAGCCUAUCCCUCAUCCAUGCAGCAAUUGGCAGCGAUGAUCAUUGAUUCUGUCUGCUUUUCUUCUUGCACCACUUUGAAAUGGAAGCAUUUUCUUUUGAACAGUGCAUAGAAUACAGCAACGUCCAUGGGGUGGUCAGCGAGUGUGUGCUAAAGGUUAGAAACGAGGACAAAGGGUAAGUGCCUUGUGUGCGUUUCCUCAGGAAGCUGAAGACAAAGACUGGGGUAAGAUUCCAGAUCGUCGGUUCCCAUGCCGUAACCACAGAAUUAUCAUGGGACUUGCUUAAAAAAAUGCGUUUCUGUAGUAAAUCCAAGACCGUUAUCCACACUUCUUAAUCCCUAAAAAUGAAAACAUACUGUGUGAUAUAAAAAGGAAACAGAAGGAAGGUGACGCUACUCCCACCCUAUUAAUAUAUUCUGGUGUUCGGUUUGUUUUCCUGGGUUACUUCAAUUUACCCACGUUUCCCAAUGAGUUUUCAUGACCAAUGCCUUGACUGUUGAUUUAAAACUGCUGUUGACUGAAGGUAGGUAAACAUGUGUGGGGCAAAGUGGAGCUUCACACUGCAGGUUUUGUUACGAUUGCAGUCGUUGCUCUCUGGCUGCUCUGUGCUUUUGCUGUGCACAGUCAUGCUGGAGCACAGUGCUUCCUACCAGCUCUGUGUUUAUCUGACUGAUUCUUCCGGUUGCAUACAUUUGUCUUUCCAAGCAAUGAAGCAGGCAAGUAAUUUGUGUUCCUCAUAGCUCACCAGGUGAUGUUGGUUGGAUCAGGGCUGCAGAACAGGCAUCACACAGAGGCUUGGAGCGAGGUUCUCGUGCUGGUUUUGAAUUGGAGCCCAUUUCAGAGUGAAAUCUUUGCCUCCUGAAAGAAUAAAGCUUGUUGUUUGCCCCCGCACCUCCCUGUUUUCCAUGUACCUUAGCAUAGAUUCCAGGAGGAUUUUCUACAUGCCCUUCCCUGGCACAGAGGUGAGGCUAACAGGUCAGCAGCUCCCUGGGUCAUUCUUUCUACCCUUCUUAAAAAUGGGUGUUAAUCACGUUCUACCAGUCACCAGGCAAAGCUUCAUUUUCCAGUGAGUGACAGAGGACAGUGGUGUCCCAGUGUGGAUCAGUUUCAGCCUCUGAUCUCCUGUUCCAUUCACAGAGGCCUUAAUCUGUGCAAGGGGAGGUUCAGGUUGGAUAACAGGAAAAAUCUCAUCUCAGGAAGAAUGGUGAGGCAUUGGAAUGGGCUGCCCAGGGAAGUGGAGUAGUCACUGUGUUCAAGGAACAUGUAGCACUGAGGGACAUGUUAGUAGGCAGGAUGGGGCUGGGCUGAUGGAUGCAGUAGCUGGUCUUAGGGAGUUUUCCAGUCUUAACGAUUAUGUGAUUUAAUUAUUUUUUGUUCAUCUCCCUCAGGAGGAGCUGGAGGUUCAGAUUCAUCUCCCCUUGACACAACUGACAGAAGUGCAGGGUUGCCAUGGGCUUCCUUGGCAGUCAAUAAUGAGUAAUGAUCAAAGAGCAAGGCAAAUUGCAGAUGGUUUAAUCACUUUCUAGAGCUGCAGCUGACCUCAGAUAGAGGUGCAUAGCAGGUGUGUGGCUACACCAGGCCUCUAAUAAACAGCACCUCUUGGACAUGCCUGGAUGGAAGGGAUGGCUACCAGUCUUUGUCCCACGCUGCUCCAUCAGUGAGCCAGCCAUCUCUUUUCCCUAAUAGUCAUCAGUGUGCUGCUGUUCUCCAAACGCUCUGGAGAGCCCUUGGCAUACGUUGUCCUUCUUUCUUCCCUGAACUCUCCCCAGGUGUAAUUCAUAUUCCCUAAAGCUUCCAGCUUUAGGAACCCCCUACAGCUGUUAGAAGAGGCUUAAACAAUCUCAGUAGGAAGCAGAGAACUUUAUCAUAGCUAAGUAGGAUGAGUACACACGUAAUCCCCCUUACAAAGCCACUUGCCUUCCAACUCUAAUGCAUAAAAAUUAGGAAAGGAUUGGAUCAAUGUUAUUUUUCUCGUAUCUAAUUCGAGAACAAUAGAGCACAUUAAGUAAUUAAAAUGUUCACCUGUAAGGUGCUUAAAAGCAAAGCUGCUGGCAGAUAUAUAAUUAGCUGCAGUUAGCUGCUUGCUUAUUUACUUCAGAUAAUUUAUCUAGUGUGGGGUCUUUUGGCUUGGAGCUUCAUUUAGAAAAUGCUGUUGCAUAAGGUAAUGCAGCAGAAUAGGUGGGGGUUACAAUUAAAAAGGUACAAAAAUUAUAGUUUAUUAAGCCAACAUACAUGCUAAGUUAGGGCAUUUCAAGUCCUCUUUAUAGUGCCAUCUACAGGUGUUGGCAAUUAAUCUCUUAUCAGAACUACAGUCCCUAACAGGCUGUGUAAAAUCACCCCAAAUGGUGCUAUUUUAUUGUGUUAUUGUUGGGGCUGUUUUUGCACUUUGUUUAGCUCUCUCUCCAUGAGCUGCUGGCAUCACCACUUGGAAGUAAGGCCUGUUCUUUUUGCUUCUUUUUCCUCAUGGGUCUUUAAAAUCCAACUACAAUGGGAAAGCAGACCUUGGGGGAACUAUCUGCAGUUUGUCUAUUGCUCUGAUGCUGUCUGUGAAUGAGGGACUCAGCCAAAGAACCCACAAACAGUGUUUGUGGUCUGGAUAAGACUUAUGGGAGGCUGUGAGAUAAAGACUGACAUUGGGGCAGAGGGAGAAAUAUCCCUUGUUAUCGUAUUGUUGUUUUCCAAGUGUUGCAGAGGAAGUGAGCUUUUACAGUGUAAAAUGCCUCAUCCCUGAAAUGAUAAGUAGUGCCUACAUAUAUCAGCUGCUGGGAUCUGCAGCUCUUGCUGGGUUGCCUUUGAAGGUUUGGGGGCUGCUCUGCUCUGGAUGCCUCAGGGAACCUCCCCACCUCUCCCAUCUUGAUAGCUGAUCUCAGCUACGCCCCUGGGUCCGUACGUGUUUGUAUUCUGACUGCGAUAAAGAACAGUGGUUUUUGCACGGUAUAAAUGAUUGUACUUCACUGUAGGUCUUGAGUUCAACAGCCACAGGAGACUGAGCCUGUCAGCAAGUGAGCCCUGCCUGAGUUUUUCUUUCUUAGCUAAGUGUUGAUUCCGUUGCUCCCAACAAAUGCAUCUCAAUAUAGAAAUCGUGUGUGAGGUGACACUUUCCCUGCCCUAUGGAAUAUUUUUCUCUGCCUGUAUUUAGAGUGUUUCUUGGGGUCUGAUGAGCAAACUUUUCCAUAGCAGUUCUUUUGCUGAACCUGGGACUGCCCCAUCCCUUCCAGAUUACCAUGUGCUUCUAAUGACAACUUGAUGCUCCAUGGUCUUACCCAGCAUACAACAAAGUGUGGGCAGCUGCUGGUAUGCAAAAGAUUUCCAAAGAUAGUGGGGUUUUACCAAAGCUGAAUCCUUCCAACAGGUGGGAUCUGCUCCUCCCACAGCUGUCCCUGCUGGGCUGCUGCUGCUUUUCCCAGGUGACGGACAGAUGAGCACAUGGAGCCUUCAAACUUGACUUGGCCAACGCUAAAGGGCUGGGUAAGCCCAGCUCAGCGCACUUGAAGUCAGCAGCUCCAGAGAAAUGCCUAUGUGAAAGUUCAGUGUACAACAGGAACUUUAAGCCACACGUCCCGAUAAGAAACUAGGAACCUCAAGAAACAGACUAGGAAAUGAGAACAAAAGGUAGCAAUUGUGUUUAUCACUCAAAGGAUCUGCCUCGCCCUCUGACUUCACCCUUCCCAUAGAGCUGGGUCACCCUAACCUAGUUUUCAGAUGACAGCUCUGGAGUUCGUAGAAAUAUGGUGAAGCUCCACUAAGGAAGAGCUUUCUCCAGAUCAUGGUGCUUUUCUUUACAGUCCCCCAUUACCAAAACCAGCAGCUGUGGGUUAUGUGGGCACCACAGCUGGGGAAAGCUAAUUCUCCUUGCAGGCAGGGAUAAAGGUUAGCUCAGCUGUGCAAGCUGAUUUAAAUUCAGCUGCACGUGGCCACAGAUUACACCUUUUGUUCCUGACAAAUACGAACACGAUAUUUGCUCUGCAAAUUCACCGUUUCUCAUGUACCAUCGUUCCCCUCGCUGUUCAUCUCGGAGAUGCAGAGUUUUGCUUGGCAGGAGGACAGCGCAGAGGGUGGUCGGGCUGAGUGGGAAGCAGCACCUCCUAGGAUGAAUGUGGGGUUUCCUCUUUUCCCCUGAAUUCUUGUGCAGCUUCUAAUAUCUUGGUGAGAUGCAAACAGCAAAAAUAAUAAAAGUCUUCUAAGCUACUGAGAGCAAAGGGAAGAAGACAUGCUCUAGUGAGAGCAGGAACAGGACUAUGGUGGAUACAGCCAGUGACAGAAGGCUUGUUGGAGCCCUUUUCCAGCUUGGAAAUUGGAUUCAGCUAAGGGAGCUGUCAGGGCUCCCAGCUGUUUUCCAAAAGCACAGUGUUAUUUUUUUAGCUGCCCUCCCCAUCCCACAUCAUCUUUGCUCUGGAUGUAAAGGCACGCAGUCUCAUAGAACUGAAUCAUAGAACGGCCUGCAUUGGAAAGGACCUCAAGGGUCAUCAGGUUCCAACCCCCUUGCCACAGCUGCUUGAUUUCUUGCCUACCUGGGGGAAAUACUGGCGAUAGGUGGACAGUCGAACUGGAUGAUCUUAGAGGUCUUUCCAACCUUGGUGAUUCUGUGAUUCUAUGACUUCACUCAAUGGAUGAUUCUCAUCAAGGAGCGCCCAUUGUGAGCAGCGUGUCACAGAAGCAACCUGUGGUGCCCUACAAGGGCUGUCAGACACGCAGGAGCAUCUCUGCUCAGGUACCGAUCCGGAUUUACCUCUGCCUAACAGAGCAGGUAGACAUUGCUUCGAAAGAAGUCAUGAAGAAUUUGUGAAGGAUUUCAAAAAACAAUUACUAUUUUAUUAAUUAUCAGCUAUGUUCUGUGACAGCUAAGAAACGACUGCAUAAUGUGGUCAGGCAGAGGGUUGUGAGAAGUUUCUGCUUGAGCUUGGGAAAUAAUGGGAACUCUCUCCAGGUUGAACUCUACAAGUCUACCCUGGAGAAUGCCAAGUGUCCUUUUUGAAACCUUUGGAGUCACGGCACCUUGCAGAAUCAUAAGAACAGCACGCUGUAACCAUCUCCAUCAAUGGCAUGGAGAAAAUGAAGAGCGGGACAGGCACACAUGGACAGAACCAGAAAGGAGAAAAGAGCAUCAGCACCAAAAGAAAACUGGGCAGAAUAUUCAUUUUCCUUGUAAGAUUAGUCAUGUCUGCCAUUUAUUUUUUAAACCAGUCUAUUACCAUUGUGGAAGGAGAAGCCCAUGGGUAUGGAUUGUAUAAGAGAGUGAGAAGAGUGUGAACACAACAGUUUGACAUGGAUCCACCUCCAGUGGCCUCCAGUGGUCCUGCAGGGUCUGAGUUGAAAGUCUUUCUGACAUCAAUACCAUGAAGCCAUCUGGGCACCUGUUAGCUUACUGCCUCCUUUCAGCCUCAGUUAGAGGAAGAUGGAACCACAAACCACAGGAAGAAAACACACACACUGGAGAUUGGAAUGGAAAUUGUCCAUUUUUUGGCUUUUUCAAAGGAAGUGUAUGCAGACUGCUUCAGCUGAAAGCUGGUGGUUCCACUUUGUACAGGGAAAGCAGAGCAGAACAGUGUGAGAUGAAAUGUGGGAGCUGGUCCAGAAUGAUGCAAUGAAGAAAGCGUCUUCAGCUGCAAAUGUGGAAGUAGCCAAGAUGUGCAAACCACCUCUCUCCUUCAAGCUGGAAUGAAAAUGGAACUGAAAAUAUCAUUUCUGAGAGGCAUGAGCAAUAGCCUCAGGACCUGCUGUAAAAAAAGGAAGUUGUUUAAAUAUACAAAGUUUGCAUUAGGAGCUGUUGGAAGGCACAUGAGCAGAAAUUACUUGCUGAUCAUGUCAUGCAUUUUUAGAGGUUCUCCUCAUUUAUCCCCGUUACAUAUGUGCUCACUGGUUCUUUCACUUGGAAGAGCUGCUUAGCCCACAGAGAUCCAUGUUUCACCAUGCAUGCAUUGUAAAACUGCUAUAGGAAGAGCGUUCAGCGAAGAGUUAAUGGCUUCCUUAGAAGGAUAAUACAGUUAACAGUGGAGAGGAUGUACAGCUAAAUAUGGCCCUUAUAAAACUUAGCAGAUAGCAUUAAAAAACAGACGUGCAGGAAGUGUCUAGUUCCUAUUAGAACUGAUUGUACACAGUUGCAUGGGAAGAAAUAAAUUUAGUGUACAGAAUUUUACAUCACAUCCUUUGAAAGCAGUGAAAUUCUCUGGGGUCCACAACUCUGUGCAUCUGGUCCGCAUGCACAUAACAUACACACACAAACAAUUAACUGGUGUGCAAGGUCUUUAAAGGAAAAUACACAUCUAAAAGUUAGCGCCUGCAUAUGCUGAAGUAAAUGGCAAUGUUGUGACUGGCUGCAACGGUCCCAGAUUGGGUUGCACCCAAAUCUAUAAGUGAGAUCCUCCUCCUCCUGAUACUGCACUCUCCUGGGGGAGCUCCAUGUGUAUGUGAAGAAGGGAGAAAUCCAUUCCUGUGCUCUGUGUGUUAGAAAAGCCUCCUCAUUCUUUUAUUUGGCCUAAUUCUUAUUUCAGAAAUAAGACAAGAGCUACUUAAAGAAUUUCCAUUGAUCAGUAGAUCAUUUGUUAUGAGCAGAAAAUUGGAUUUACUCUUACUCAAGUUGACUGAUUUGAUGGGAUUCUACAUGUUUAUUUUGGGGAUAUUUUCAGGAAAAAAAUAUCUGGAGCCAGAAUUAUCUAGCAUUAAAUAGAUGCUGCUCACAGGAGCCUGAAAAACCUUUCACAACUGUGUUUGAAAUGACUUUUUUAUUCAUUUGCAAGGACAUCAAAGAAUCACUUUGCCUCUAGUCUCAGUCCUGCCGCUGGCAGGUAUUGCCAAGGAAGUGACCCAGACAGCAUAGAGACAAAUCUGUGCUGAAGUGCAAGGUAAAAAUGCCUACCAGCAGAAAGAGCUGGACUCUGAGUAUGUUUCUGGACUCAAACCCAGGGCUUUUGUUCCCAGAAGACUCACUUCCCAUCGGUACACAGUGAAGCUUCAAGCCUGUGCAGUGAGGAUGUCCCAGCUGGGCUCAAGGCCUGAGGAGGGGGAAGGCUCCAGGCCUCUUUCAGAUGGGAGACUGAGCUGUUCUUCAGUCCCCAGUGGGGGCAAGAGUCAUGCCUGGUUCCUCACAAUGCCCUGUGGCCUCUGAGAACUGAGACAGCAAAAGAAUAAUGUUCAGAACAAAAUAUCCUUGAAAGCUGUUGGGUUGUAGCACCCUAGAAGAAUCUCCAUCCUUUGGCGUCUAGUCCAUAAUAAGGGGAAAAGCUAAAAAUGCAGAUUGACAGAUCAAAGCAGCAGCCACCAUACAUACCAUGGACGAGUCCUUAGACAGCUUAUCUCCUGUAUUGACAUAUCACCAUAUACUAGGAAGCAAACCAGGGUGCCCGGUCCAUCUGGAUUCUCAGCACCAGCAAGAAAGACAAAAGUGAAUAGAAUCACUAUGGCAAAAAAGAAGGUAUGGAAGAUGAAGAUUUCCAAUACAGAAUCUGGGUUUUAUGUUGUGUUUUUCUUGCUACAGAUGGCCUUGUGUGGAAUAUGGCAGCUAUCCUGCUGUGUUGGAAGAAUUAAGUUCAAUUUAAAUGUCUGGAUUUCCAGUCUACAGGUUUUGUAGGAAACAAGCAAGCAGUUUAAUGGAAGAAAUAAGCAGAAAACUCUCUGCUGUGCACUGUAUUUACAAAUCAUUUUUUGGUCAUUUGAUAUUUAAUUGAAUUUUAUUCUUGCAUCAAGAAAAUUGAGACCAAAAGUGAAAUUAAAUGACUGAUACUGGCCAAUAUGCACUGCUGGGGCAGAACAAUUUUUUUUCUCUGAUGAAAGGUACCUAUUUCAGCUACUUUGGCAGCUCCGCGGUUCAUCUGCCAGCAUGCAGGGUUGUUUCCAUUGGCAUCUGCCGGCUUUGGAUAAGGUUUGCACAGCAAAUCCCCCAUCCACAGCAGGGCACGGGCAGGCAGGUCUUUACAAUGAGGUUACUUUGCAACUCCAGGAGCACACUAUGUAAUGAGAAUUCAAAGCAGCAGCAGAACAUUAUUGAACAGCACGCCAAACAUGCUGCUAUUACUUACCAUCUGGUAAAAGUUAAAUUUCAUUAAUAAAUAUUAUUAUUAUUUA
Non-coding RNA from Coturnix japonica (Japanese quail), 8146 nucleotides. NCBI's taxonomy places the organism in Eukaryota, Metazoa, Chordata, Aves, Galliformes, Phasianidae. The record is from RefSeq and is a predicted model, not a curated record.